CAGCCGCCGCGGUAAUACCGGCGGCCCGAGUGGCGGUCACUAUUAUUGGGCUUAAAGCGUCCGUAGCCGGGUUGGGAAGUCCUCCGGGAAAUCUGGCCGCUUAAAGGUCAGAAUGCCGGAGGAUACUCCCAGCCUAGGGAGCGGGAGAGGCCUAGGGGAUUCCCGGAGUAGGGGGGAAAUCCUAUAAUCCCGGGAGGACCACCUGUGGCGAAGGCGCUCGGCUGGAACGCGUCCGACGGGGAGGGACGAAGGCCAGGGGAGCAAACCGGAUUAGAUACCCGGGUAGUCCUGGCUGUAAACGAUGCGGACUUUGUGUCGGACAAGCUAUGAGCUUGUCCGGUGCCGGAGGGAAACCGUUAAGUCCGCCGCCUGGGGAGUACGGCCGCAAGGCUGAAACUUAAAGGAAUUGGCGGG
This 414-nucleotide ribosomal RNA is filed under the name uncultured microorganism. RNAcentral describes it as "bacterial SSU rRNA". It matches the Rfam family "Archaeal small subunit ribosomal RNA", at positions 459 to 872 of the family's 1478-position model. The record is from RNAcentral.